Molecule: long non-coding RNA, 1539 nt
Filed under: Oreochromis niloticus (Nile tilapia)
Lineage: Eukaryota; Metazoa; Chordata; Actinopteri; Cichliformes; Cichlidae
Description: lncRNA (ENSONIG00000031460.1)
Source: RNAcentral
GCUCUCAUUGGAGUGGAGGUGGGGAUUUGUGGUACACAGCGUCUGGGGCAACACGCCGGCCGAGACAGGCAUAUUAAACACACAGUUAACGAAAUGCGCUCUUGAGAUGAGCGUCAUGCGCCAAAGCGCACAUAAGAUAUAUGUCUGUUUCCUUACUUUAACUUUAAAAAAUGUGAGAAGUUGCUCUCAAAACAAACACCAUUUUGCAUAUGUAUCUUGUGGAAAAAGAUGUAGGCUGUAUGAUUGUUUUUUUUCCUUCUUCUUCCUUAGGUUGAGUACUGAAGGUGGCGCUUGGACACUGUUGCAGGCGCCUGGAUGCGUCGAAGCUGUGAUGUACCAUGGGUAGCUGACCAAGGAAAGACACCCCACCUUGCAAUGUGCUGCUUUAGCUUCCCAGCAUAAGAAAAACUCCAGCAAAGGAAAACAAACGAAGCAGAGAAGACAAACGCAACGAGAGAUAGUGCGGUUUCAAAUCCCUCCGUCAAAUGUGACCUGCUAGAAACUUUGAAACAAACAGAUGUACACACUCCUCAUCCCGCAAGCAGUUCCUCUGUAGCAGCAGUAUGUCUGUCAGUUCUUUCAUCAUGUUAUGAAAUAAGAAGAGAGCACAAGAGGAACCUGUUGCUGGGCUAUAAGACCAAAGCAGCCCGGAGAAAAAAUGGUAAUGCAAGCAAGAGCGGCGGCAGGGGUCUGCCGGGGUGUAACCAUAGCUGCUAAACUCGCAUUCAGGCCUUUUCCAGAGCAGGGCUCAGAGUAUGCAGACGACCUAGGGGCUAGAGACUUAGGGAGGACUUUAAGCUUCUUUGUCAAGCUCCUCCGAGCUCAGUCGACUGCUGUGAAGAGGCCGAAGCAUGCAGCUGUCUAGCAACAAGAAACCCCUCAUACCACAGAUACUGGCCUGUGGUUAAGGAGUGUGAGUAUGAAAGUGUACGUGGUUCAUAUUGUGUGACUCAACAUGUGGGUCUGAAUUUGUGAAAGUGCACCGCUGAUGAGUAUCACACCAGGUGAGACAUGUGUUUGGAAGGCUUAUAACAUGCUUUUAAUAUUUAGACUUUAUAACACAAGUGUAACACCAAAUAUACCAUUUGUCUGUGAUAACAUGCAACUGUAAAGAAUUGCUUUACAUUUUAUAAACACACCACAUCUCCAUUUGUGUCAUUAAAACUACGCUUAACGUGUAAGUAAUGAAUCAAACACCUAUUCAAAGAAAGACACCCAGUUAAACUGUCUAACUCAGACUACUAAUCCCUGAUUUAGAGAGGUAGGUACACUUAAGGACUUAAGCAAUUUCACAUGCAAUAAGGAUGGUGGAUUCUGUCUUCUGUCACAACGCUUAAAUUGCCUUUAAAGUGGGAUUUCCGUAUGGCUGCUACAGGCGAAAGGGAUGACAACAGCCAGCAAUAACUCUUUCAGUGUCCAUGUAGGCAUGUAUUAGUUUUAUUUUGAUAUGAAAAACAGUGAAACUAAUUGAUCAUGAGCCUUCUUUUCUGGCAAUUGUAACGGCCAAUAUAUUAUAAAAUUGUAGAGGCAGUAUAGCAG